UGUAACUUAUAAAAUGGCUCCAUGUGUAUUUUUAGCAAAUAACAGAGUAUUAGGUUUUCUUCAAUUCAGAUUUUGAGUGAUAUCUUCUUCCUGAUUCUCUUCACGCGCAAAUCUAGCUAGAGGUAUGCUUUCAAUCAAUUUUGUACAUAUCUUUUUUCUACUUUUUCCUUUGUAUUUUGGGUUUCUUCUAGGUUCUCUUCAUCAUUGUUAGUUUCGAUUCUGAAGUUCAGUGAUUGUUGUAGGUUCUUUUCCCAUGUUUUGCUAUGAUUUUUCUCAGAUCCUUUUUUCUUCUUUUAAUUUCUGCUCUAUCUUCUUUUAGGUUUUCUAAUUUUUAACUUUGCAAUCUUAUGGCAAGUGUGUGUUAAAUCGAGUGGUAAAACUGUAUUUUUAAACUCUAAGCAUGCUGACUAUUGGACUUUGUCUUCAACGUCUUUAUCUAGCAUUCCUCACAAAUUCUCUCAGUUAGAUCAAACUCAACGACCUGCCUCUACAGUUUCUUUUUUCAUAUUCUAAUAUUGUCUCAACUUCUCCUCCGUUUUUCGUUAAUUGCAGUCUUCUCUGUUGCACUGCUCAAUUUACGUACAAUUAUACGGUCAGUUCUGUUUUGUCUGGCUUUUUCCUUUAACUAUCCAAACUAUUUUUGGGGGUGAGGUUGGAACAACGAUUGGUUGUUUUGGAAAAGGAUCUGUAUUUAUUUAUGUGCAUAUCUUUUUUAAAUGAGGAAUACAAACAUAUUUUCUAUAUGAAAUUUUGGAAUGUCUUUACUGGUUUGGUACCAUGCCUGGUUGGGGUAAUUAAGAAGCUUUUAGACCCGGUUGACUUUGGCUGACCAAAAUGACUUUUUUCUUCGUUUAUCCAACCUUUUCUGAAUAUCAGUGUUAUCUAGAUUUAAGAUUGUGUUGGUUUCUACUGUGAAGAAUGUCUCCUUAUGAUGUUUUGAAUCUUCCAUGGAAGAUUAGCUUGCUUUCAAUUGGUGAUAUGUUACGCCUCUAUUUUUCGUGCUUCGUUUCGCUUCGCGCUUCUCGUGAUUUAAUCUUAAUUUUCAUAUGUUUCAACUCUUUUAAAGUGCAAUAAGAAUGAAUUUAAGUUUAUGAUUUAGACACUACAUCCAGACUUGCAUUAGAGGUAUUUGAGAAAUUGCCGAUGAGAAAGAAGGGGUAAAGUAUUUGAGAAUGGCGAGGAGAGUUGAGAAAUUUCACUGUUUUGAAAUUGCCACCGCCCGAGCCUAAGAAACCUAAGACCAUUAAUGUCAAGCUUGCUUAAAAUAGGGGAAAUAUAGACAAAUUAAGUUUGGUUCUAUGGGUAUUAAUUUGGACCUCGGAGAGGUUAGAAAUACUGUUUUAUAGUAGUGCUUAUGAUGUUUUUUGGACUGUUUUGUGCUGUGUGUAAGACCUUUUGGUCUAUGAACUGUGAACAUUAUGAAUAAAUUUCCUUGAAUUUACUGGAGUUUUUGCAUCUACAGGAAAAAAAUUAAAGCCACUAACAUGUAAAAGGAACAAUUCUGUAGUAUAUCUCCUAAAGAUUUUAAAUGUUCUUGUUGUAUAAAUCUAAGGAAAUGGAGAUUGAAACUGAUAAGAAAUAGAUUAAUGUUGUUGAAUGGCAUAACAUAUGCAAGAUUCACAGACUAUUGAAAAGAAACAACAGCAGACUCAUUCACAACUUUGCUCAAAUAAUGAUGAAGUUGGUUAAAAGGAGACAAAAAGGAAUAUAAAUAGUGUCUACUUCUUUCUCACUUGCUUCCAUAUUUACAUUCUCAUCUUAAACUAUUGGGCUAGGUUAUAAAUAUUUGUGUUGCAGAUCACUUUGUGUAAAGACAAACGAAUAUUAUGUUCGGAUCCUACAACUUCUUCAAUUAUAGUAUUCAAUUCAACAUGGUUCAUUUUAAUCUCUAUUUUUGUUCCUUUUUAACACUGAAAUAAUUGAGCAGCUUAAUGAAAAAACCUAAAGCCUAGAAAAUGAUAUAUGAUAAGUUAUUAUACCUUUUAAUUUUUUGGCAUGUAUUAAUUGCUCAUAUAUGUUAUUUUUGGUCUUUGUUUCUGCCUCAAUAGUGAAGGAAAAAGAAUCAUUUGUGAUGCUACUUUUUAAAAGCUCAAGGCUUCUCCAUAAGCUGAUAUAAAUUGUGGGUAUCUCUUGCAGUUUGUACGUCAACUGAAAGGCUGUUUUUCUGACGUUUGAGCUUGAUCGACAAGCUGUCACCACUUCAAAUUGAAGCUCUUGGUUUUGCUCUCCGAGAAUCACUAAAAACUUGACACUCAUGAAAACGAAGGUCUCUCCAUUCUGAAUUCCUUAUCUAUUGCAAUUUACGCCAUAUCUCAAGGUAAUUUGUCUUUUCAUAUUUCAUUUGUUGUCUUAGUUAUGUAACUGCUACUGAAGGUGCAGAAAUACCAAGGUGUAACUUAGCAAAAUCUGCAGAUACCAAUAUCUCCAAAAUCUAUUAGUUUACAUUGAUUCUUUAUCGUAUUUGGUGGUAGAUGCUUAAAUUUGUUUUAAAGUUCUUAUGGAACAUCAGAAGACCAUAUGUGUAUUAUUUUGUAUUUCUAUUCACAACUUUGGAGAUUAAAAACACCCCCGUUUCAAAUGUUUACAGAGUAACACCUUUCUUAUACACUUACUUGCAUGUGCUUUCUGUUGACAUGAAGGAAAUAAAAUCUCUCUCCGGUGCAUUUAUCUAAGCUCGCUUUCUUUUCUUUGUUUCUUUUUCUCUGAAGAUUCAAAAGAACAUUAGAAUUUAUGGUAUAUUAUGCUCAUUAGUAAACAAAGAUAGACAAUGUUUGAAAAGGUAUGUAAAUUACAAAUAAAAUCUGCAAAA
RNAcentral lists this long non-coding RNA (2809 nucleotides) under Nicotiana tabacum (common tobacco). Its description in RNAcentral is "long non-coding RNA (NTAB_LNC011164)". The record is from RNAcentral. Lineage: Eukaryota; Viridiplantae; Streptophyta; Magnoliopsida; Solanales; Solanaceae.